GGCACCAGGCACCGCUUUGCUCCAGCACGGCUCGGGCUGGGCUGUGGCAGCAGCGCCCCGAGGCCACAUGGCACCGACCGGGACAGUGCCUGCCUUGUCGCUGUCCCCUCGAGGCAGGCAGUGGUGGCCGGGCCACAGUCCCCGCUCUUCUCCUCCCUUCUGGGCGGGGAGAGUGGUCAGGAGAUAAAAGGGGGACCAGGGCCAGCUGGAAGUUGCUGAAAACUGCUGGGGCCCGGAGCGAAGGAGGACGGCAGCGAGGAGAAGUGCGGGCCAGGGUCCAGGAUGGGGCUGUUGGUGCUGGCCCUGGCCACCUGGCUGGGGCUGGGGCUGGCCUCGGCCUCUGAGGAGACGGCCAACAGCAGCCGGAUCUGCCAGGAGGCGCCGGCAUGGACCAUCAACGGCUCGAGCCCCAUGGAGGGGGCGGCAGGGCAGGUGACGGUGGUGGCCCUGCUGAAGGCCAGCUGACAGUUCUGCCUGAGGCAGGCCCACAGCCUCGGGGGCCUGCGGGAGCGGCUGGCCCGGCAGGGCAUGGCCCAUGUCCGCUACAUGAUCGUCAACGAGAAGGCGCCGCUGUCCCGCGCCAUGCUGCCCGAGCUGCAGCGCCAUGCCCCGCCCGGCGUCCCCGUCUUCCAGCCCGAGCCGGAGGACCCUGACGUCUGGCAGGUCCUGGGGGGUGACAAGGACGACUUCCUUGUUUAUGACCGGUGUGGCCGCCUGGCUUUCCACAUCCAGUUGCCCUUCAGCUUCCUCCACUUCCCCUAUGUGGAGGCAGCCAUCCGCUCCAGCCACAUCAAGGACUUCUGUGGCAACUGCUCCCUGUACCCCAACACUACCCAGGAGGCUAACAGCACCAUGGAGGGCCCUGCAACCCCAAGCUCCCUUCCUGAACACGAGGGGAUGGAGUCAGAGACCCCCGUCCACCAGCACAAGCCCCUCCAUCCUCAACGCCAUCACGAGGUCAACAGCGAGAGGGACACAAACCCAAGUGAGGACCACAAACCUGCUACCCAUGCUCACCACCACCAUGGAGACCAUGGCCAGCUCCAUCACAAGGGGAGGAAGCAGAAGGAGGGGGAUGAGCAUUAAACCAGGCUGGGCAGCCUUGCAGAACCCAGUAGUGUGCAGAUGACCCCAGCUCGCUUCACAGAGGCAUGGAAGGACUUGCUUUGGGCUGCUGGUCACCAGCAGCACUGGUUUAACAACUCCCUCCAGCAGACCUCAUGUGGGCUGCCCUCCUAGGCUGUGAUAGAGAUGGAAAUUCCCCUUGGACCCUGCUCAGUGCUGCGUUUUCAGCCCCAGGGCUCAGUUCUGAGCCUUCAUCUGCCACUGCCUGCCUUUCUGUGCUCAAUGAAGCCCGCUGUGCAAACCAGGAGGUCCCUGGUCACUGCUGGCUGACACCGCACAGAGCAGCGGGGUGGGGGUGGAGGGGCCAGAGCUGGGAUGGGAGCAGCACUGCCGGCAUCCUCUGCCCAGCUGGGAUGGGAUGGGAGCAGCACUGCCGGCAUCCUCUGCCCGAUCUGGGAUGGGAGCAGCACUGCCGGCAUCCUCUGCCCAUCCAGAUACUCCUGGGUGUGCUGGAAUCCCCGAGUUUCCUGGCCAGGGAGCGAGGGGAGGGACAGCGUGUGCCCGGCAGGACAUGGUCCGGGGGACUGAGGGCACGAAGAGCGGUGGGAUGUGGCAGCUCGCCACGGUCCAAGCCCUGUAGCCCCGUGUGUGACCGUGCGCUCGGGUGGGUGUGUGCAGUGGUGCUGGUGGCCGCAAGAUGGUGGCCUUGUCCCCUCCUGGAGAUCCAGGGGCCGAAUCAAUGGGCACCGCUCGGGGAGGACAGGGUGAGGGUGCGGAGGUCUUUCCUGGGGGUGAGCGGGGUGGGAGGGCAGCGCGGGUAUCCGGAGUGCGAAUAAAACC
Molecule: long non-coding RNA, 1905 nt
Organism: Taeniopygia guttata (zebra finch)
Lineage: Eukaryota; Metazoa; Chordata; Aves; Passeriformes; Estrildidae
Source: Ensembl